RNAcentral lists this ribosomal RNA (497 nucleotides) under uncultured bacterium. Its description in RNAcentral is "partial 16S ribosomal RNA". It matches the Rfam family "Bacterial small subunit ribosomal RNA", at positions 28 to 507 of the family's 1533-position model. The record is from RNAcentral.
GAUGAACGCUGGCGGCGUGCCUAAUACAUGCAAGUCGAGCGAACAGAUAAGGAGCUUGCUCCUUUGACGUUAGCGGCGGACGGGUGAGUAACACGUGGAUAACCUACCUAUAAGACUGGGAUAACUUCGGGAAACCGGAGCUAAUACCGGACAACAUAUUGAACCGCAUGGUUCAAUAGUGAAAGGCGGCUUUGCUGUCACUUAUAGAUGGAUCCGCGCCGUAUUAGCUAGUUGGUAAGGUAACGGCUUACCAAGGCAACGAUACGUAGCCGACCUGAGAGGGUGAUCGGCCACACUGGAACUGAGACACGGUCCAGACUCCUACGGGAGGCAGCAGUAGGGAAUCUUCCGCAAUGGGCGAAAGCCUGACGGAGCAACGCCGCGUGAGUGAUGAAGGUCUUCGGAUCGUAAAACUCUGUUAUCAGGGAAGAACAAAUGUGUAAGUAACUGUGCACAUCUUGACGGUACCUGAUCAGAAAGCCACGGCUAACUACGUG